GAUGUCAUUUAUUCCUCAGAAAACAUAGCGAACAUUUAUUCAAUCCUGAGAUGGUCUAGAGGGAAGAGUGUCUGCAAGAAAAACACCAAAUUAAAAGAGAAUCCGACAUUGUAUUCAGUAAUAAAAAUAAUCUGUGUAUACAUUCGUAUGAACAGUAAUUUUACCUAUUUAUGGCAGAAAAUCAUCAACCUGGCAUCCUUACACUACUUUUUUGGGUUCGACGAUAGCCUGUUGUAAAUCAUUGCUGACAACUGUGGGAUUCACUACCAAGACAAUGUGCUUCCUAUUGCUUGAGCGAGCCCAACCAUACAAAACCAUGAGCAACCAAUGAACCUUUCUUGCAAAAACAGAUGAACCUUCCUAUGCUAAAAUAGAUCAAUUAAAAGCGUGAUAGUAAUAAGUCAACAUUUUUUAAUGUAAGGAAUCGAUUCAUCAAACCUCCUUCAGUCCUGCAAACAUCCGCCACAAAAUCACAACACUUACCUUUGAAGAGACCACUCAUAGCAGCAACCUCAUUAGAACCAAUCAAAUCUGCUUUUUGUGACCUAUGGAGAUAAAUUUCGCUCCAUGGAGGAUCAUAUCAAAGGGUAACAUAAUCUGAAGAAUCGUAUAAAUACCUAUCAGCAGUCCAGCUCCGAUCCUCUUGAAUGUUGUUCUGUCGCAUGGAAACAAUGUCGUAGAGCACAUUUGUUUUACUGAAUUGAAUCGCAUUGAGACCUACCAAAAAGGAACCAACUAAAUGAGAGAUGCACGUAGCCAUGAUGCAUAGAUCAUGAUAAUAAAGAAGGCCUAUGUCUGAUAAUAUCAGCUAUAUGCAUAAAUCAACAGUAGAUGUACACUUUUGCAGUUUUUCUUGACUGUAUUCUGUACAUCACCAAGCAUAGCACUCCACGCAGGGUCCCAAACAACCAACGCACAUGCCUGGGGCUGGCCACGCUCCUUGCACACAUCAACAACGUCUACAUAUGUCUUUAGCAAAGCUGCUGAUGAAACAUGCCCUUUUUAGAAAGACAACACUGCUUUGCACCACGAACAGAGGCAUCCUAACAUAGGAAGAUGCAAACUUGUAUAAAGACCUUGCUUUCUUCCCAAUAAACAACAAAAUGGGAAAACACCCAUCUAUAAAAACAGGUCUAUUAAAUCAAUAGAAAUUACUUGCUGAAAACCCCUAAAACAACUACACUCUAUGUUGUCAGAAUGUCAUCUAUCUGAAGCCAAAGAAUGAGCUGGACAGACCAUGGUAAACAAGGCAUGAAAUAAACACAACCCACUUUCUAAUAGCAAAAAACUAACUUUUUCACGGUUCAAAUUAGGAAAAUCAAAUCAAAUUGAAGCCAUAAUAAUCAACGGUAUCUCAUAAUCCUUUUUUUGCUGAAAAAUCCUAAAAGGACCAAAUCACGCAUCUGAAUUGAAUGGUAGGAUGAAUGGACUCACAAACUAAUACUGACCAGCAUCCCUUGUGCAGUGCGCAUAGCGACCGCCAUGUAUCCCCACGCACCGGAGUCAUUUACCUGUACAACAGCAACGCUAAAAAAGAACUACAGAAAUCACAAACCACCAAGCCGACAGAAGAAGAAGGACGACGGAAACGCAAACCAACCAUCAGACGCACCCCAGAACAUCCCUCGCAAGAAAUUGAUGCAGAGGAAGAAGAAACCGGCAACAGCAGACCCGCCGCCCACCCCUGGCGAAGAGGCAGGCAUCUGACCCCCUCCCUCCAAAGAGGCAGGCACCGAACACGGAGCCGAAGACCACCAAACACCCCGCUCACCAAACACACCACCGCCGCCAAGUCCAAAGGAUAAAAGGAAGGACGACGACCCUCGUAGCAGUAAAAGGAAAAACGCCACCUACACGCGGGCGCGUACACAAGCGCCACGAAUAUAUACAAGCCAACCGACAAAGCGAGACCAGCGAGCCAGCGAAUACACUUACAAAGAAAAUCCACCCUGCAGGCCACACCCCUCGCUCAACUAGGAGCCUCCCCGUCAAGGGAGCUUAGAGUUUUAAAAGAUAUUGGCCGAUCUACCGGCGCCUACUACUCGCCAAAAAGAAAAGGAUCGUACGCAGGGUCGCACAACCCCACGUGCCAGUGUAAACAAAGCCCAGCCGAUACAAUAGCCGAAUCUUUUUUUUUGAACAGGGGAAAGGCCCAGAAGGGCCUAGUGCUGUCUUUCGUUCAUCGUCGGUGGAGUACAAUACACAAACAGGAUCCCGAAAGAACUAGAAGUUACACAACAGUCCUGGAAAUUAACACAAAGGACCCUAAAAAGUAACAUCGAAAAGCAAUCAAGUCCUUCUCCACCACAACAACAGGGACUCCACCGCCGACCGUCCUCCUUCUCGCCGGGGACGAAACCACAUGGGAGAGGAAGGCCGCUGCGCGCCGCUGGGAAUCCCACAGAGGGCCUCCGUCUUGGAGGAGGUUGAGAUGACGCUCUCAAAGGCGUCUGGAAAGGCCGCCUUCUCAGCCAAAGGUCAUGGCGGCAGAUCGUGGCUGUCAUGUGGUGAUCUCCAACUCAUAUUCGACCACCCCUCUCCAUCUUCCGCCACCGCGACGACGAGAUCGCGGAGAGGCACCCAGAACCCAAGCUCCACCACAACAACCUUUUUAUUAUUGGAGGUUUCAGGUGCUCUCCUCCUCAUCACCUCUGGCUCCGUCCAUGGGAGCGCCGCAACAAGGAGCAGAGAGACAAAGCAAUACCAGAUCCGGGCCCCUAGACCUGGCAUCUCCCUCCCGACAUAGAGCCGAUGACCGGCAUGUAGCCAAAGACUAGCAUAUAGCCGAAGACAUGAACUAAACCUAGACCUAAUAUGUACAAGAAGAGCACGACCACCUACACCAUCCUCCUGCCGGCCACCAGGGCCGCCGGAAGGAAGGAAGGGAAGGGGCGGCAACGGGAAGAAGGGGACUCUCAACUCGGCAAAGGAGGAGAGGAGAGGAGAGAAUGGAUUAAAAAAACUACUUAAUGGAUAAAAAAACU
RNAcentral lists this ribosomal RNA (2984 nucleotides) under Triticum aestivum (bread wheat). RNAcentral describes it as "partial small subunit ribosomal RNA". The record is from RNAcentral. Lineage: Eukaryota; Viridiplantae; Streptophyta; Magnoliopsida; Poales; Poaceae.